RNAcentral lists this transfer RNA (40 nucleotides) under Chlorostilbon lucidus (glittering-bellied emerald). Its description in RNAcentral is "partial tRNA-Leu". The record is from RNAcentral. Lineage: Eukaryota; Metazoa; Chordata; Aves; Apodiformes; Trochilidae.
AACUUUUAAAGGAUAACAGCUAAUCCACUGGUCUUAGGAG